GGCUCAGAAUGAACGCUGGCGGCGUGCUUAACACAUGCAAGUCGCACGAGAACCCUCAGCUUGCUGGGGUAAGUAAAGUGGCGCACGGGUGAGUAACGCGUGGGUAAUCUGCCCCUGAAUCUGGGAUAACGCUGCGAAAGCGGUGCUAAUACCGGAUGACAUCGAAUUGACUUCGGUUGAUUGGAUCAAAGGUAGCCACUCCAUGGAAGCUACUGUUUGGGGAUGAGCCCGCGUACCAUUAGCUUGUUGGUAGGGUAACGGCCUACCAAGGCGACGAUGGUUAGCUGGUCUGAGAGGAUGAUCAGCCACACUGGAACUGGAACACGGUCCAGACUCCUACGGGAGGCAGCAGUGAGGAAUUUUGCGCAAUGAGGGAAACCUUGACGCAGCAACGCCGCGUGAGUGAUGAAGGCUUUCGGGUCGUAAAGCUCUGUCAAGUGGGAAGAAAUCCCGGGAAGUGAACAGUUUUUCGGGUUGACGGUACCACUGAAGGAAGCACCGGCUAACUCCGUGCCAGCAGCCGCGGUAAUACGGAGGGUGCGAGCGUUAUUCGGAAUUACUGGGCGUAAAGGGCGCGCAGGCGGUCAUGUAAGUCAGAUGUGAAAGCCCGGGGCUUAACCCUGGAAGUGCAUUUGAAACUGUGUGACUUGAGUAUGGGAGAGGGAAGCGGAAUUCCUGGUGUAGCGGUGAAAUGCGUAGAUAUCAGGAGGAACACCCGUGGCGAAGGCGGCUUCCUGGACCAAUACUGACGCUGAGGCGCGAAGGCGUGGGGAGCAAACAGGAUUAGAUACCCUGGUUAGUUCCACGGCAAGGUAAAACGGUUGAUCAACUUGGGGUGUAGCGGGUAUUGACCCCUGCUGUGCCGAACUAACGCAUUAAGUGAUCCGNCUGGGGAGUACGGCC
Molecule: ribosomal RNA, 903 nt
Filed under: uncultured organism
Description: bacterial SSU rRNA
Rfam family: Bacterial small subunit ribosomal RNA
Source: RNAcentral